Long non-coding RNA from Manis javanica (Malayan pangolin), 1643 nucleotides. RefSeq lists it as uncharacterized. The record is from RefSeq and is a predicted model, not a curated record. Lineage: Eukaryota; Metazoa; Chordata; Mammalia; Pholidota; Manidae.
UCACCCUAGUCAGAUGACAGGGUGCAGAGGUUGGACGGAGAUGCAACUGCAGGCAGCAGGCCACCUUCCUGAGGCCGGGAAUGACCCAGCCAGGCAGCCGGGGCAGGGAGGCUUCUUCAAACCACCCCAGCUUGGUUGGCCACUUCUGGCACCAGCUACCCCGGCUGCACCCCCACAGACCAGAGAGAGCCCCAGGAAUCCAGGAAUGAGGGGCAGGUUGAGAAGAGAGAUUCACGCUGUGCACCCCCAGGACGUCUCAGUGGUGGUGGGUGUCCUUCCUUGUGUCUCAUAUCAACCGUCACCCAGAGUUGCAUCUCAUCACUGGUGACAAUUUCAUCUCUUGCAUCAGGUGGAAACCAGCCGUUUCUCUGGUGUAAAGGAGGAUUGCCUCCUGAGAGUGGAAUAUGUGUUUAUGGAGGGAAGACUGCAAAGAAGAGCAUCUUCUGGGAGAGUGCAUGUGCUCUUUCCCCAUCCUGCCUGCUUUGAAAACUCUUUCCUUGCUCUGGGAGCUUCAUACUCAACACAUCACACUGACUUCAGUAUAAUAGGGGAUAUGAGUUUGGCAAUAAAGUCAGACUUCAAAAUGAAGGCUUUAAAACCAGUUACCACCUCCUGAACGGGACCUAGGGCAAGUCAUUUAGCUCUGGGAGCCUCAGUUUCCCAACCUGUAAAAUGGAAGUACCAUAAUACUACAUCAUAAAGGUUUCUGGGAUUACAUGUGAUGCAUAGAUAGCAAAGCAUAGAUGUGCUUAGUCCAGAGCCUGGCACAUAGACCCUGCACAGUACAUGUUACCUAUUGUGUCAGUAUUAUUGUUUAGUGUUUUUAUUAAUGUUAUGCACAACACUGCUGGGAAGAAAUUUGUAGCACAUUAUAAGCCCUCCAUACACAUGGGAAGGCAGGGAAGAAGCAAGGAGCAGGCGAAGGGAAGGGAGGUAUCUUGGUCACAGUCCCCAGAAGCAGACCCUGAUUCGUGUGGCAACAGUGACUUAAAGAAGAGCACCCUGAGGGGCAGACAGAGAGAGGAAGAAGCCAGCAGGGCUGUGAGCCCAGGCCCCCAACCCAGGGCACUGAGCCACAUCCCAGGGUUUCCCAGCCUGAGCUAGGAUGCUGGGCUUUCAUACUCUGCCACCUGUCAGUCAGCAUCUAAGGGCCAUCCUGAGGGGACACUUCCAGCCCUCUGCAAGGAGGGACAAACAGCUCCAGUAGUCUGAGCACAGCCCUCUCCAAGGAAUCUCAGGUGCAGACAGAAGCCAAAACACACUCAGGCCAGGGCAGGGGUACAUGGAAACCUGGCAUAGGACCCAGGCAGAUCAUGAACAGGAGCUGCUCCAGGACAGAGGAGUGUAUCCUGAAUUAAGGUACAGGAAACUGAAGCUUCAACAAACAUGUAUUCAUAUAUACUACCUGUCCUUGAAACUUGCUCUUUUCAGUUAGCAUUUUCUCUAGGAGACCAUCCCAGAUCAGCCUAGGGAAAGCAGCCUCAUUCUUGGGAAAUACCUGCAGUGGGCAUUGACUGCAUAUGUUAUUAUAGGGCUCAUUGUCCUCUAUUGAUGGGUGUUUAAGUUGUUUCCAAUCUUUUGCUAUUACUGAAAAUGUAAUAUAUACUGCAAUAAAUAUCCUCGUACUACUGUCAUUCAUACAU